CAGCGCCACGGUAAUACGUAGGUGGCAAGCGUUAUCCGGAAUUAUUGGGCGUAAAGCGCGCGUAGGCGGUUUUUUAAGUCUGAUGUGAAAGCCCACGGCUCAACCGUGGAGGGUCAUUGGAAACUGGAAAACUUGAGUGCAGAAGAGGAAAGUGGAAUUCCAUGUGUAGCGGUGAAAUGCGCAGAGAUAUGGAGGAACACCAGUGGCGAAGGCGACUUUCUGGUCUGUAACUGACGCUGAUGUGCGAAAGCGUGGGGAUCAAACAGGAUUAGAUACCCCCGUAGUCCCUGUCUCUUAUACC
RNAcentral lists this ribosomal RNA (301 nucleotides) under uncultured bacterium. RNAcentral's name for it is "partial 16S ribosomal RNA". It matches the Rfam family "Bacterial small subunit ribosomal RNA", at positions 509 to 808 of the family's 1533-position model. The record is from RNAcentral.